This 21-nucleotide microRNA is filed under the name Glycine max (soybean). RNAcentral describes it as "gma-miR2606a (MIR2606A)". The record is from RNAcentral. Lineage: Eukaryota; Viridiplantae; Streptophyta; Magnoliopsida; Fabales; Fabaceae.
AAAGCACUUAAGGAACGGUAU